Molecule: ribosomal RNA, 1493 nt
Filed under: uncultured prokaryote
Description: partial 16S ribosomal RNA
Rfam family: Bacterial small subunit ribosomal RNA
Source: RNAcentral
CGCCCUUAUGGUUUGAUCCUGGCUCAGGAUGAACGCUAGCGGCAGGCUUAAUACAUGCAAGUCGAGGGGUAACAGGGAAGCUUGCUUCCGCUGACGACCGGCGCACGGGUGCGUAACACGUAUGCAACCUACCUUUAACUGGGGAAUAGCCCCGAGAAAUCGGGAUUAAUACCCCAUAACAUUCAUCUUUCGCAUGUCUGAUGAAUUAAAACUCCGGUGGUUAAAGAUGGGCAUGCGCGACAUUAGUUAGUUGGUGAGGUAACGGCUCACCAAGACAGCGAUGUCUAGGGGUUCUGAGAGGAAUAUCCCCCACACUGGUACUGAGACACGGACCAGACUCCUACGGGAGGCAGCAGUGAGGAAUAUUGGUCAAUGGACGCAAGUCUGAACCAGCCAUGCCGCGUGAAGGAUGACUGCCCUAUGGGUUGUAAACUUCUUUUGUAUGGGAAGAAACCCUGUUACGUGUAACAGGCUGACGGUACCAUAAGAAUAAGCACCGGCUAACUCCGUGCCAGCAGCCGCGGUAAUACGGAGGGUGCAAGCGUUAUCCGGAUUUAUUGGGUUUAAAGGGUGCGUAGGCGGAUUUGUAAGUCAGUGGUGAAAUCCCGAGGCUCAACCUCGGAACUGCCAUUGAAACUACAAGUCUAGAGUACAGAUGAGGUAGGCGGAAUGUAACAUGUAGCGGUGAAAUGCUUAGAUAUGUUACAGAACACCGAUUGCGAAGGCAGCUUACUAGACUGUAACUGACGCUAAGGCACGAAAGCGUGGGGAGCGAACAGGAUUAGAUACCCUGGUAGUCCACGCAGUAAACGAUGAUAACUCGAUGUUGGCGAUACACAGUCAGCGUCCAAGCGAAAGUGAUAAGUUAUCCACCUGGGGAGUACGAUCGCAAGUUUGAAACUCAAAGGAAUUGACGGGGGCCCGCACAAGCGGAGGAGCAUGUGGUUUAAUUCGAUGAUACGCGAGGAACCUUACCUGGGCUUAAAUGUAGAGUGCAUGAGUGGGAAACCAUUCUUUUCUUCGGAACUCUUUACAAGGUGCUGCAUGGUUGUCGUCAGCUCGUGCCGUGAGGUGUCGGGUUAAGUCCCAUAACGAGCGCAACCCCUAUCAUUAGUUGCCAUCAGGUCAAGCUGGGGACUCUAAUGAAACUGCCGCCGCAAGGCGUGAGGAAGGUGGGGAUGACGUCAAAUCAGCACGGCCCUUAUGUCCAGGGCUACACACGUGCUACAAUGGUCGAUACAAAGGGCAGCUACCUGGUGACAGGAUGCUAAUCUCUAAAGUCGAUCUCAGUUCGGAUCGAAGUCUGCAACUCGACUUCGUGAAGUUGGAUUCGCUAGUAAUCGUAUAUCAGCAAUGAUACGGUGAAUACGUUCCCGGGCCUUGUACACACCGCCCGUCAAACCAUGGAAGUUGGGGGUGCUUGAAGUACGUUACCGUAAGGAGCGUCCUAGGGUAAAACCGGUGACUGGGGUUAAGUCGUAACAAGGUAGCCG